CAUCAACCCCUGUCACCCCUAAGGCAGAAUCAAGAUGGUACAACGGAACGGGUAAGUACCGGCUCGUAAAACGCUAAGCGGGGGUUUGCGAGCAUUUGGAACACAGAGGGAAGGCUUUUUAACACGCAGGGCUGCACGUCCGCCGCCGGAGAUCCCUUACCUCUGCGACUGGCACAGCACACAGGGCGGCUCCCAGCCCUGCGCCCACCGCGCGGCGCCACCGCCCGCUCCCACCAGGAAGGCCGCGUCUGCCGGUGCCGGCCAGAGCGGGGAGGCCGUGCCUGGGCAUGCGAGAAACAGUGAGCACAGAAACACCAGAGCAGGGAUCAUCUGCUGCAGCUGGGGAAGGGGACCGUGAACCGGCGAUGUUCUGGAAUAACAGCGAGUGGCCGUACUGGUUAUUAUCGUGACGGUGAGGUAUAAAGGCGAGAAACAACAGCUGGGCGCGGGGGGCACCGCCGCCCCAACCCGGCCGCCCGUAACCGCGGUACCUCAGGAGAGAGCACCAACCCCGCAGCCAGAAGGACCGCGCCGCCAUCUUGGGAGUGGGCGAGUUGGUGCAGGAGGAAGGAGGUGCCAUCCUGUGUGCUGAGCAGAUGUGUGGGACGAGCUGUGCAGUGGAGCCAGGUGCUUCUGGCCAGCCAAGGACUGCAGGAGCGGGGAAGGAGUUGUCAUUUGAGCACCAAGAAAUACGUCGUCCAGCCAGCAAGCAGCAGUGCUCCCACCAGCACGGUGUAGCUGAACAGCACAAACGCCAGCAGCUCCCGCAGAACCUUGAGGAAGUGGAUUGCAAAGGAGUCCGGCAUCGUUCCCCACAGUACUGCAGUGCAGAGCAGCCUGAGCAGUGCUAGUCAUUGCCGUGUGAUUAAUUUUUGACCAAAA
RNAcentral lists this long non-coding RNA (882 nucleotides) under Gallus gallus (chicken). RNAcentral describes it as "long non-coding RNA NONGGAT002817". Lineage: Eukaryota; Metazoa; Chordata; Aves; Galliformes; Phasianidae. The record is from RNAcentral.